GGAAUCUUCCGCAAUGGACGCAAGUCUGACGGAGCAACGCCGCGUGAGUGAGGAAGGCCUUCGGGUCGUAAAGCUCUGUUGCCAGGGAAGAACGGGUAGGGGAGUAACUGCCCUUGCCAUGACGGUACCUGAGAAGAAAGCCCCGGCUAACUACGUGCCAGCAGCCGCGGUAAUACGUAGGGGGCAAGCGUUGUCCGGAAUUAUUGGGCGUAAAGCGCGCGCAGGCGGCCUUGUAAGUCUUGUGUUUAAACCUGGGGCUCAACCUCGGGACGCAUGGGAAACUGCAAAGCUUGAGUACAGAAGAGGAAAGUGGAAUUCCACGUGUAGCGGUGAAAUGCGUAGAGAUGUGGAGGAACACCAGUGGCGAAGGCGACUUUCUGGGCUGUAACUGACGCUGAGGCGCGAAAGCGUGGGGAGCAAA
This 421-nucleotide ribosomal RNA is filed under the name uncultured bacterium. Its description in RNAcentral is "bacterial SSU rRNA". It matches the Rfam family "Bacterial small subunit ribosomal RNA", at positions 358 to 772 of the family's 1533-position model. The record is from RNAcentral.